AGGAGACAUUCAUAGUGGCCUUGUCAAACCACAAUAGCUAAUUUAAAGAAGUUGAAACCGCCAACAAUGAAAAUAGUGACAAUGCAAUGUCUAUCAGAUGAUGAUGAUAUCCCAGAAACUCCACUUAAUGAAGAUGAUGAUCAUGCCCCAGAAACUCCACCCAAUGAAGAUGCUGAUGUCGCACAUGACAGGAACAGAUUUGGCUAA
RNAcentral lists this ribosomal RNA (207 nucleotides) under Triticum aestivum (bread wheat). Its description in RNAcentral is "partial small subunit ribosomal RNA". The record is from RNAcentral. Lineage: Eukaryota; Viridiplantae; Streptophyta; Magnoliopsida; Poales; Poaceae.